UACAGAGGGUGCAAGCGUUAAUCGGAUUUACUGGGCGUAAAGCGUGCGUAGGCGGUUCGUUAAGUCGAUUGUGAAAGCCCUGGGCUUAACCUGGGAAUUGCAGUCGAUACUGGCGGACUAGAGAACGGUAGAGGGAGGCGGAACUCCAGGUGGAGCGGUGACAUGCGUAGCUCUCUGGAAGAAAACCGAGGGCGAAGGCAACCUCAUGUGCCUGUUCUGACUCUGAGGCACGAAAUCGUGGGUAGCCAACAGGAUUAGAUACCCCCGUAGUCC
Molecule: ribosomal RNA, 273 nt
Filed under: uncultured bacterium
Lineage: Bacteria
Description: partial 16S ribosomal RNA
Rfam family: Bacterial small subunit ribosomal RNA
Source: RNAcentral